Long non-coding RNA from Leopardus geoffroyi (Geoffroy's cat), 17574 nucleotides. RefSeq lists it as uncharacterized. NCBI's taxonomy places the organism in Eukaryota, Metazoa, Chordata, Mammalia, Carnivora, Felidae. The record is from RefSeq and is a predicted model, not a curated record. The transcript has 2 exons.
UGCUCACGCACACUCUCUUCCUAAAGCAAAAAAAUAUAUAAACUAAAAUAAAAAUAUGCAUUUCUGUUCUGUCUCUUCUGAGGGGGCAGUUGUCUUUUGUUAAAGAGCUUGUGAUGCCCAGGAAAGUGAUGUCAUUUCAGCUGUCAGUCAAAUGUGGGGAUUUUAGAUAGGCAACGGGGUUUUUUGUUCUUUCAAGUCUGAAGAAAUCUAGAAACUUAAGUGAUUAUUUGAAGAUCCAGAACAGGAAAUUAAAUCGGAAUAAAGCCUGUUACAAACUAGACUGAUUAAAACUCUUCAGAUUUCUUCUAAAGAUCCCAAGCAUUAAUGCAUUGAGGAACCUGGAAAUCUGAUGUUGAAGUUCAAACAUUAGGUUUUCAUUUCCAUUACUUUUUCCCUCCAGAUGUUUGUUACUUUUUUUUUUUUUUAGCUUUUAGCCAUUUGUAAUUUAACACUUGCUUUGUUUAAACUGAAGUAGAACUUUGAUGUUUAGAAAGGAAUAUCCAAUAAUGCAUAUUGCAGAUAAUUGUAACUUUUUAUGGGAGUCAGAGGGAAAGAAAUGACUUUGAUAUAACAUCAAGAACUGCUAAUGGAGUGUGUGAAGGCAAAACCAUUUUCCCUUAGAGACCUUUUGUUAUAACAUGCGUUAAAAAAUGGAGAUGUUCCCUCUAAACCAAACAUGGUUCUUUGAUAUAUGUUCAGUAAUUUAAAUAUUAAUCUUCCAAUGCAUAUAAUGUGUUUAAAAUUAAUAAGCAGUGUUUGCUGAAACGAUCUCCUUUGCAAUGUUUUCUGAUAAACAUGGGAUACUUUGCAAACUCUCAUGGAACUCUUGGGGGGGGCGCGAGAAGUGGCUUAACUUUAUUAUUAUUUUUUUUAACUUUAUUUGGUUUUUUAAUAGCUGACUGCGAAACUCACUAACACAGCUAUUUAAAGUUGCAAGGUUAAAUAUGAAAAUACUAAGAAAUAAAUCAUACUCUGAAGGCAAGAAUUAGAUUUGUUCAUUCAUAGCUUGAUUCAAGAUCAAACUCCUUUCUUACUUUCGGAAUGUUGAAAUGCUGGUCUUAAUUGUUCCGCUAAAUGAGUCCUUAAAAACGAGGCUGAUAACCUGCCCUGUUUUGUCAUCUGCAUGGCCAACUGCUUACCAGAUCCUGACUGUUCAGGACUACACAACCAUUGACCUCAGGGUCUGCCACCCAGGUAUUACUGCCACAAUAUCACAAUAACUAUGGGACCUUAUCAAACUAUCAUCAAGGGAGGACAUAUUUUUGUCCCAUUUGUGAUUGAGUGGCAAAUUAUAGACAGGAACUAGUUCAGAUAAAUGUUCUAUUUCCCUGCACAAAAUUAGCAGCUCAAGAAGCCCUGUCUAAGACAAUUCUACUCUAAUUAAAUGUCAGGUAUUAUGGAAUUCAAGAUGAUAUGAAAUUAUAUGACGGUAAAGGUAUUUAAGACUUUAUCCAUACCGCCAUGCACAUAGUUAGCCAUGCUUUCCCAAAAUUGAGUAUUUAUGGAUGGGAGUAAAUUUUUCUAAAAUAUUAGAAGUUCUCAUGAUGUAUAGAAAUAAGUUUAUAUACAUUCUCAUGAUGUAUAUAAAUAUAUAUAAAUAAAUGCCACAUCCCUCUAUCCAAACACACACACACACACACACACACACACACACACACAUAUUUUUUACUAGGCAACAUAUGUAAAACUACUCCAUAUUUCAAGAUAAUAUUUCUGUUCGUUAUUUAAAAAAAUUUUUUUAACAUUUUAUUUAUUUUUGAGAGACCGAGAGAGACAGAGUGUGAGUGGGGGAGGGGCAGAGAGAGACACACACACAGAAUCUGAGGCAGGCUCCAGGCUCUGAGCUGUCAGCACACAGCCUGACAGGGGCCUUGAACUCAUAACUGAGAGAUCAUGACCUGAGCCGAAGUCUGCCGCUUAACCGACUGAGCCACCCACACGCCCUCGUUCUGUUUCUAAGGGUGGAAUCUGUUUUUACUUUAAGAUUCUUUUUUUAAUCCAGGAAUUCCUUAUUCUAAACUCUUCAAUACCUGACACAAAUAUUUAACCGUUUUUGGCAAAAUUUCAAUCUGAUGGGACUUAAUCAAGCCUACUCUGUCUACAUUGGAAAUAAGGACUUCUGUGUUUUAAGGAGCUGAAUACCUUUGGGCAGGUUGCUUAAUUUACCCAUGCUUUUUCUCUUGUUUAAGUACCUCACAGGAACAUUCUAUCUGUAACUAAUGGCUUUCAAGCAUUUUGGGUUGUAAAACACAAGAACCUUUAUUGAGACAGCCAGCUCAGUUACCCAGGGACUGAUUAUUGAGUUUGUAGAUGAUCCAGCCUCCUGUCCCCUUCUUUGCUUUGUUUUCCCUGCUCCCCCUGCUGCCUGCCCUUUGGCCAUUUCACUACUCAUUAGCACCUCCACCAGAUGGGGGGCAGGGCCAGGAACAGGGGGUCAACUCUGGUAAAAGAGUUGGUGGGAAAGAGGCGGGGAGUCAUGGCAGACAUAAGGUUUUCUGAUUUGACGGAUCCAGGCUACCCCAUACUCUAUCCUCGGGGGUAUUCCAAUGUAGCAGUUACAGUGAAAUUUGUUUUUUCACUCAGUGUUUAUUCAUUUUUAUAAUAAAUGUGACUUUAGAAGUAAGAUAAGAUGUCUUUUUAAGGAUGCUGUAGGAAGCAAAAGUCUCAGUUUUUCUGUUUCCUCAGUCUUGAUGAGCGGCUGCAAAGCAGGCUUGGGUUGGCAGGCCUUUGCCCCCUAUUCGAAUCUAGAAAAAACGCAUUAAAUCUACUCUUACGUUAGACUCGGGUUGUGGAAUAAUAGUUCUUCAAGUUCAGGUAGAGGGAGAUGGCUUUAUGAUGCUUAAAGAGUCCUGUUUGGGUGUGAAUAGAUCAAGUAGCUAAGCCUAGAUGUAUGGCCAAGGGAAGCCUUGUGAUGGUCUCAACGCAUUAACUCAGAAAACGCACUUUGAGUGUCUCUCUGAACGCGGUAUCACGCAGGAGGCUGAGCGCGUAAGGUGGACAACGCAGACAUGCAAGAAACUGCUCGGACACUGUUUUCUUCACUUGUUUGUUUGCUUCUCUCUUGUUUGGCUGGACCAUAAACCCUAGGGUUCCAAUGGCAAGACCCUUUGCUUUUGUAAUUUUCCAUUUGUCGAAGCAUUUUGCUAGAGUCUUCUGACAGUCCUGUGGAUCAAGCCCUGUGGUAGGUCCUGGGGGUGGUUACUGAGGUCAGCAGCACAGAUGGGGGCUGCCUUUGGGGCACUUACAGUCUGGGGAACCAAACAGGAAAAUCUGAUGCUGGCCCAUUAGAUUACUACCCCGGGCUUUGGGUGCUGAGAGGCUAAAUUAAAUUCCAGUUUUCAAGUGUUGUGAGCUCUUUAGAAUUCAGCAGUCCUUCCACAGAAAUGAUUGUGUUGCUUUCCGAUCCCAAGAGCACUCCAUAGCAUUCUUUGAAUAUAGCUAUAUAUAUAAUCUAUGAAUUAAUUAUACUAGGGGGCCUGGGGUUACAUUUUCUCUUUAUCACCACGGCAGAUAUCCAGGCUUACAUCAAAUGUAUGCAUACCUAUUUGAUUAAUCAAAGUAGUGAGUCAUUUUAUCUCAUUAGUGUAGGUUUAAAAAGAUAGGUACUAAAUUGUCAGAUAUAGGCUCCAGGAAGGAGGGGAAAUGGAAUCAGAAAGAAAGAUCAGAAGGAUCAGAUAGUUCUGUUGGGCCACUGCUUCAGCAUACGUUGCUCUGAUUUUUUUCUCUUUGUUCAUGCUGGUAAUUUAUGUUUACCAGAUAACUUUAAAGUCACUUGGUGUCAAAGCAAUUAAUUUAUACUCUAAGAUUUCUGGGUACUGCUACCCUUUGUAUUUAAAAAUGAGCCCUUGAAAGUAGAAAGCUUAUGUGUAUCCUUUUACUCUUAGCACCUAGGACCUAGGAGGAAAUUCCGCAAAGCGAUUAAGAGCUCAGACCGCCUGCGCCUGCGCUCAGUUAUCAGCUUAUCAAGGCAAGUGGCUCAUUGUCACCAGCUCAGUCUUCUUGUGUGUAAAAUAAAGGGUCGUAAGAGUUUCCAUUUCGUAGGAUGAUUUUGUAAGAAUUAUGUGAGAAGCCAUCCAAAAACUGUAUUCAGUCUGUGGCAGGUGUUCCCAUCGAGUUGUUGUGACGUUAGUGCGGUUGUAGGCCCGCGGCAGGACUUCAUAAAUGUUUGCUGAAUAGAAUGACAGUGUUUCUUACUGUGCAUAAAACAUAGUCUUUGCAUUUUUGAUUUCCAGUAGGAAUGUGGAUUUGAAUUGCAUUCUGUGGCUUUUUUUUUUCUUUUAAUCUGAUGAUGUGUAUUUUCAAAGAGGCUACCAAGGGGUUAAAAAUAAAAACCAUCGGCAUCAAAAGCAGUGUUUGUAAUAAUUUCAAAUUCCAGCUUAUGCCCUUCUCCUGAAGAAGUAAGCUGUGAGCUGCUAUCACCCAGGCUCGAUACAGACUCCGGAUGCCUUGCCCUAUAUUAAUGUUUCCAUUCCCUCACUCCUGGAAAUAGCGUUGUGCUUUCCAAAAUAGACUCUAGUGCUGUACCUUCAAAGAAUUUUCGUCACAGCUUUGGAUCAUCAGAAAAACAGAAGAAAGCUUUGUUGGCAAAACCUCACAGAAUAAUUUUCUCAGGUAGUUUCUAAUUUUUUCUACAGAAACUUCUUUUAAUUGCCUGUUUCCCAUUUCCUUUGCUCCCAAUUUUUAGUGUUAACAUGGAAAUAAACAAAAGGGGGAAAUCGGUUAAUAACUAUUUGUCUCUUUGACUUCUUUCAGGGGCAUUCUGAAGCACUUAAAAGGACACACAAAGCAGUGGGGUUUACAAUUAAGGGUUCAUUGGGGGGGCGGGGGGGGCCGGCAAGUGGAAAUCUAAUACCCUAGGUUUUACAUCACUAAAGGGGUAAGGACUUCACAGUCAAAAUAACAAAGGUAGCAAUGUCACAUAACUUAGAAGUUUAAGCAUUAACAUUACCAAUAAAGGAAGUGCAGGUCUGCCAAGUUUCCAGAGGAUCCAAAUAUUUUUGGUCUUGAGGGAGCACCCUAUUACAGGAACCACCAAAGCCCAGGGAGGUGAGAGAAUUACCCUAUGUGGAGGAACAGGGAAUCGUAAGAUUAUAGCUGAUACUGUCCUAUAAAGUACCGUUUGCUUUGCAGUCUUUUAUCACUCACUGUUCCAAAGGAUUCUGAUGUCAGAGAAGACAUAGACCAGUGUGUGUCAGAAGCUGACCCUAGAGUAUAGUUUCCUUAUUACAGAAUCUGUCCCUACAUUUUCUUUCCUGCCAUUAUUCUCUUGAACGGCCCAACUUCAGUGUUCUUUAAAUUCCCUAAUGGCAAUUGACGAAGCAUCGCUAUCAGCUGAUAGAUCCGGCAUGGAGUUGGAAGGUAUGAACUUGACCAUCUCUGUGCUCCCUCCAACACCCCCACCCUCACCCCUCCACACAUCCCUCACACACACACCCCCACCCCCCGCCUGUUCUCUGGACACCGACAUUCCAUGGGUAGUACUGUUCUUGACGCUGGGUGUGCGACUUGGGAGUUUAUUGGAAAGAAUGGAAAGACAAUGUGUGAAAAUACUGUCCAUCCUGGGACAUUUUCAUUCUCCUGUGCUCUUAUUAAAUUGUAAAUUUCUUGUUUAGGAGUCAGUCAAGUUUGACUUUACAUUCUUUAUUCCCUUUUCCUGUCUUUGACCCAUAUAUUUCCUAUAUGUGUUGGAUAAAAAUGAACUCAUUCCCAACCCGAAUUCACCCUCUUGGAAUUCCUUUCAUAGCGAUGGGCUAGAGUUUAACAAUGUUCUGUGUAGAUUUGCCAUGUAUGGUGUGCUCAUUUCCAGGCUGUCAAACCAAGGCGAUGGUGGGUCCUAGCUUUCUAUUAGUCAUUUUCUUCUUCCAGGGGUGGUCUCCUUUUUUGUGAUACUAAAAUUUAUCCAUGAAUCAGUCAGGCUUAGGAUUUUGUGUGUUGCUUUACAUCCUGUUUGGACAAUUGAUGGGGUACACAGAAACCAUUUAAACUUUGACAUUUUCUAAACAAUAAAAUGGUAACUUUCACCUAACACAUAGUCUUAAUCCGCUGGGCCGUUAAAUCACUAAUCUCAGUGGACAUCAACCGGGAUCCUGUUCAGACGUUAGCACCUAUGAGAACAAAACGGCUCUAUUGUCUAACCUGCAUUGCGGAAACCUCUUAGGUGUUUCUCAGUCUUCACAGGGAAACUAAUUCGUGCCAUGUGGACUAAGUACCACAUCGUUUCCUGCUAUGGUAAAGCAAGGGAGGCUUUUGUGUUCAUUACGUACGUUAUGGGAUUAAUAGGAUGUUCAUUGUACCUAGAUUGUAGAGUUUGAGGGCACUUGGCCACACCUGAUCUCAGUGUGAAGAAUUCCCUUGUGACUGAAUUUGGUUUUUGUUAUUUUGGUAAAAAAAAGAGUUUUCUGCCCAGGAUUAUUAUAAUGCGGUAUCUAUUCAUCAUUGCUCUUUCCUAUUCUUUUAAGUAAUUCUGUUACAAAAAAUUUAGUUCCCCACCCCCCAUUUGAGAAGCUGACAUUUUCUAUCCUUAAGGCAAAUACAACUUUUAAAAUUUGUGUGACAAUUUAGGUGUCUUACGUUGAGGCUUUUUUCUUUUUAUAAAAUGUUUGAGACCGAGAAGACGUUUCUAGUGGUUUACUUACAAUCUCAAAGCUACCUUUGGUAGAAAAAUCUCUUUAUACAUGAGAAAAAGCUGUCUAGCGAGAUUUCCUGAGUACUCUUGGUGACACGAUGCCUGCCUGUGACAAGAAGGUCUUAUAUUCAACCUAAAUUUCUCCUUAUACGGUUUUCAGUCCAUUUCCUCUUGUGUUGUUCUUAGCGGUGACAGAGAACCUCUGGCAUGUCCUUCUUCAAAAUAAUUCUUCCGACUCGGGGCAGUGUAAAGUGCACACACACUUUGGGUCCUAGCAGAUCCGGGUUUGAGUCUGAGCCUCAGCACUGACCAGCCUUCAGCCACUGUUGCCUCUCUGAGUCUAAACGGCUUCUCAUGUAAAACACAGCUGAUAAUCCCUCCCUUGCAUUUUAGCUCCAAUGUCUAGUUCCUAGUAAAUGCUCAAAAUACAGUGCCUUGUAUCAUCUGUGUUAGAACCUGUGAGAAUUUAGUAAGUCAGCUUUUUCUUUUCCCUGGUAACAUUCCCAGAUAUUUCUAACUUGGUCCUGUUUUUCUAACCUACUAAUCUCAGUUCGAAAGGAGACUUCAGUUGGUGUUGGAGAUGCAACACUAGGUUUGCAACGAAGGUCUUAUCUGACUUGCUUUCUGACUUAAUAAAUUUGUGGCUCUAUGUCCUUAGGUAAGCCACUUAACAUCCUUGAGCUGGUUUGCUCAUAGGUAAUCUGGGGAUGACAAUUAUAUCUUCCGCGGCUUCCUCUCGGGGUUGUCGUGAGGAUAACGUAAGGAAGUAAUUUGUGGGCCACGACGCACCGUACAGGCAUAAGGUGAUAGCGGUAAAUAUAAUCGGCAAUUAAAAUUUAACACUUUCCAAUCGGUUGAAUGAAAUUGCUUAUUGUUCAUAAAACUUCUCAUACUUAGGUCACCGACUUCAGCCUCACCCUUGUCCUACGUAGCAAUUAUACUCUUGUUCUAUUUCUGUUUUCAUCUGCUCUUACAGUUGGAAGGCUAAACCAGAUAACUCUAAGAUGUAUGAUGACACAUAUGAAAAGAGUUCCAACAUGAAACGAUUGAGCUUGUGUGUCGAGAGGGUGAGUCAAUAAGGAGUGUCGGGUGAGGUUCAGAGGGGGCCAGGUGAUCAAAGGCGUGAAUGAAGGGCUGAAAUGACACAGGAGAAGUGGAUGAGCAGGAAAGAUGUCCAAGAUGAUGGGCAUUAGAGGAGAGGGUUAUAGACCCGUGUCUCCUAAGGUAGUCACUGCCGAGUUUCAAACAGAAGAAUGGCGUGCUCGAAAAAUACCUGAAUGAGAAGGGAACUUCGGGACACUGGCGAUCGCUUCCAGUGGAAGUGACUUGGGACGUUGCAGUGAUCCCAAGCGGUAGAGCACAACCCAUUUCUGCAGAGAUACAAUCUAAGGAGGAGGGGUGGUCUGGCAGACUGACCUGUGGGGAGCCGAGGAUGUGGUGUUGGAGGAAACCAGCAGGAAAGCCAAGUGCCUCAGCUGUGAGGGCCCGAGCCAUGAGGACUGUCUCCAAGUGCUCAAAUUGGAGGGUAAGAAAGUAGAGUGGACACAGUAAUAUUUAAAUAGCUAUUUAUCUGUAUUGUCUUUUUUUUUUAAAUUUUUUUAACAUUUAUUCAUUUUUGAGAGUGAGAGAGAUAGAGCAUGAGCAGGGGAGAGGGGCAGAGAGAGAGGGAGACCCAGAAUCUGAAGCAGGCUCCAGGCUCUGAGCUGUCAGCCCAGAGCCCGACGCGGGGCUUGAACUCAUGGAGUGUGAGAUCACGACCUGAGCCGAGGUCAGACGCUUAACCGACUGAGCCACCCAGGCGCCCCUGUAUUGCCUUUUCAAAAAAAAUCUAUUGAAUAUACAGUUAGCCUUUGUAGAAGCAAGAAGCUUUCCCCCAUAUUUGUAUCAUACCAGUUUUUCAUUUUGUGACCUCAUUUCAGUUUGGUUUCGUUUUGUGUUUAAUUAUGGUGCUGAAAGUCCUCAAGUUCGGGUGGUAGAGAGUAGGUUUUUGUGAAACAUCCCUGUUGAUUAGGUUACUUAUUUCUAUAUUCCAGUAAAACCAGCCGCAGUGACCCAGCUGUCCAUUUGGGACUUGUCGAUGCUGCUUUCCUGGGGCCCUUUCCUCCAUGGCUGUCUGUGACCUUAGCCAUUGAAUCAUGUAAUCGUUUUUGGCCUCCUAAGUCAAUGAUUCUGAGUGGGCAGAGUGGUAGUGUGAUGUCAUGUCUGGGGCAUGAGCCUGUACCCUCACCGCACAUGGGUCCCCACCCUUCCUGGUCUAGGCAGCUCAAUACACAGUGCUUGGCACAUAGUGAGCGCUCAAUAAAUUUAGUUGCUUUUCCUGUCUCUCUCUGGACCUCAGAGAGGAAUAUCCAAAUUUGAGAACACCACCAUGGUGUUAGGUUCCCCAAGUAAAAUCCAUAGUGAAAGCAGAGGCAGAUGUGUGGGAAUGCACUUCCAGACUCCAGUCAAUCUACAAAAGACGAUUACACUGGGUUUUACGGCGAGGCUUCCCAUGCUCACGAAUCAUAAUAAAAUCUCUUACGGGAUUAAUGACUUUGAACCGAAUGCAAAAUUGAUAAACUAUGUGUGAUAUUGUGACAUUUGAAAGUAUUCAGUAUGAAAAAUAGCCAAUGGGGGUACAUAUUUAGAGACACUUUGUGUUCUGCACCAACGUUGUUUGGAUUUUAUUGACCUCUCUUCUUCCCUGCUAAGAAAGAUCAGAAGGAUGGCCCUCCACAUUGUUUCCAAAUUCCUAGAUAGGAAAAACGUGAAACUAGAAAGGGACCUUUUGAUAACCUUACGCAUUUGUAUUUUUUUUUAAUAAAAAAAGCUUCUUUCUUGCCCUUUCUCUGGGAGAGAGAAAAAAUUAGACUCCCUUCCUUUCUCCCUUUCUCCUCUACUCCAAAUUCCAGAAAAUGAACCUUUCUUUUGAAUUCAGAUCAUCGUAGAUUCGUUUGCGGUAGUAGAAAUUGUACUGAACAAUCCCUUGUAUACUUCGCCCAUUUCCGCCUUCACCCCCAUGGAGAUGUUUUGUAAAACUAUAGUACAGAAUCCCAGCGAGGAUUUUGCAUGAAUACAUUCCACCCGUUGCGUUCACAUAUUCCCUUUUUUAUGUGUCCUCACUUGUGUGUGUGUGUGUAUGUGUGUGUAUUAAGUUCUAUACAAUUUUACCACCUGUGGAGAUUCAUGCAUGACCGCCUGAGAUAUUCUCUUCUAAGAUUGCACGGUGCUUGAGAGUUUUCAGCACAUCCUGUGAUGACAGACAUGAAGUGUCUUCUCUUCUAAGUACGCAAAAACUGUGUGGCUGUAGGAAGGUGGGGAGUGGAAAUCUGGCCGAUGGUUCCUGUCUGUGGCUCUUCAGUUACUCUUUCACAUUCCCUCAUUAGAAAAGGCCGGCUGGCCCAGCCAAAAUCAUAGGUGGGCUUGGCACACAGCUAACUAUUUGCCUGGAGUAACUUAUACUUUUGUAUUAUGUUAAGAGUUCUGCCAAUUUCAGAGGCCAGGAAGCAAAGAGUUGGCCUAGUGGUGUAACACACCUGCUUUUCCCAAGGCCACGUACAACAACAGGCUGAUUUGAGUAUGUGUUUGCCCUCCUGGGAUAUAUUGAAACAGGUCUCCAGAGUCCUCGAGUUGUGGAUACAUACUUUUCUCCCUCUAGAAAUCCAUUUCACACGGAUUUUGAAUGUCCAUGAGAACAGAUAUUCAUUGGGGAAAUGUGCUGUUAAUUGUACUUUGGCUAUCUGGCCUGGUCUCCAGGAUGAACAGCCAUAGAAUCCUGUUAUCUUGAGACCUGUAAGGAUAUCCACAUUUGAGAAUGCCACAAUACCAUUAGAUCGCCCAAUUAAAAAAAAAAAUUGCAAAUGGCUGUCAUACACGUACAUGCACACACACACACACACACACACACACACACACACCACAAAGUUGUGCUGAAAUGCAAACACUGGCACAUGGCCCAGCUGCCCCACCAGCUAAGUAUCUCAAUCUUACGCUCCAGUCUGAGAAAAAACCAGAUUUGCAAAUAGUUCAACGUGUGACUAUUACAAUUUGAGAACGACAAAGAUCUGUCAACGUUCGACUAGUCACUCCUGGAAUCCGAGUGUUUGAUGAGAUGACCACGUUUAGGAUGAUGAUGGUGUUUGGGCAUAACAACCCGUGAACAACAAGCUGUAAGUGUAAUCACUAUGAAUCCUUGUAGAGAACAGGUUUAGUAUAUUUGCUACUGUUCUAUCAAAUCCCGAAUCCCGAUUAUACCGUAGCCUAUAAAGAAAGCACUUCUCUUCCUCUUUGGGCUAAUACUUCUGCUACUUGGGACCAAUGCUUUAAAACUUCAUGAUUUACAAGUGACAUUCUUUGUUGGUAACAAUUAUUUAAAUGAUUUAAAUAAUCCAAGCUUGCUUUGAAAUCAACUGGAGACAUUUUGAGAAUCUUGGAAGUUUAGAAAAAAACUGUAUAUUAAGAAAACUCUGUGGAAGAGUAUCAGAAGAGGUUGCUCUUACUUCCAUAACAUACUUCUCUGGGCCUUGACUUGAUCCAAAUAAACGUGGUCAGACUGCUGGCGUGCCAUGGAAGUGGCAAAUGGAAGCCUACAGUUCUGCUUCCUGUGUCCUGUUUUCUGGCACCGAGGCCUUGUCUAAGCUAUGCCAAAAUAGUGAUUUCUUUUUUGUCGAUACAGAACUGUUGGUCCGCUUGGUGCUUGAUCUGCCCAAGACUUAGUUUAGAGAUUAUGUGGUUGAAUUCUCUCAUAUUCUGCAGGUAACAAAAUGAAGGUUGAGAGCAAUGAAAUGUCCGGUUCAAGGUCACACAGCCUCAUCAGCUAGGACAAGAAUCAGGUUUCCUGAUGCCCAGUCCAUUGCUUUUCCACUUUAGGGAGCAGGUUCCUGUCACCCCACCAGUCUUUCUCGGUUUUCCAUUUGUAACAUUGGCCUUUCUUCUGAUGAACCUCUUCCUUUGGAUCCUGUAAGAGCUUCCUGGGGCUGCUGUGAAAAAGUACCUUGAACCUGGGUGUCUUAACACAACAGAAAUGUAUUCUCUAACAGUUCUGGAAACUGAAGGGCCUGAGAUCAAGGUGUUAGCAGGGACACGCUGUCUCUGGAGGCUCAGAGGAGAAUCUGUUCCAUGCCUUUCCCUUGGCUUCUGGUGUUGCUUGAUGCUUCUCGACGUUCCUUGGCUUUGAAUGCAUCAUUCCAGUCUCUACCUCUGUUGUCAGAUGAUAUCUUCCUGUGUGUCUGUAUGUCUCCUUUUCUUUAAAAAGGACUCCUGUCCUAUUUGAUUAGGGCCUAUCCUAAUGACCUCAUCUUAACUUGAUUACGUCUGCAAAGACCCUAUUUCCAAAUAAGGCCAUAGACACACAGGGAGUUAGGACUUCAACAUUUUGGGGUGGUGGGGGGAAGGGGCACAAUUUACCCCAUGGCAGCUCUCUUUAGCUCCAAAACUAUUUUUAGAACCAGGCAGGUAUUUGUAACACACUAUGAGAACCUGCAAAGAAUUUCAUUACAUGUAAGGCAUCAUAUCCAACAUUGGUAGUUUGUUACAAUAACACAUUGAAAAGAUUUAUAGACUGCUUUGGGUGUGAUUUUUGGACUAAUUCUCUGCUUUGAAACCAUUUGUUGGGCUCUGUUUAUUUAAAGGAGGGAGUGAAUAGACCUGAAAACACCUAAUUUUCAUUUUCAUCUUAGCUUGGAAACCAGUAAUUUUUUUUUUUUUUGAGAAUUGAAAACUGUAUCACAGAACACGAACACUAUAUUUAUCAUUUUGAUCUUCAGUUAUUAGAUGCUUGUCUGUGUGCUAAGCCUCCCACCAAGAUGAGAAAAAAAACAAAACCCGAACUUAAUAUUGUUGUACUAAUGAAGUCUAGAACCAAUGUUUGCUAUAUGAUAUUUAAUGGUAUGUGUCCAGUUUUUAAGUGAAACUCAGAAGGAAAGAAAUCCUAUUCUCAACUGUAUGCAUUCCCCUAAAUCUCCCAGUUGGAUGCAAUAAUUUGCAUUCAUAAACAAGCUUCUUGACCUCAUUUCCUUUGAUCAGCUUGGGAGGAAAUGCCCGUAUAACUUUAAUUUAUACCUUUCUUAAAAAUAUUUUUUAACCAAGCACAGGGAAUGGAUGCCGUGGCCUUUAUUAACUUUUAUGUAUGUGAUUCCAAAUAUCCCUUUAAAGUAAUAUCUUUUAGCUUCAAAUAUACUUCUUCCCAUAAGGCUGGUCCCCAUUUCCUAUAAUCUUACAGACCUAGGAGAACAAUAUUUUCCCUUCUGCCGUUUUGAUAAUUACGUCCUCUGUGCUCAGUGGUGGCCUAUUAACUAACAUGAAUACCGUAGUCUUACAAAAUAGCCUCAAAUUUCCAUAUAUUGGAACUGUGAGAAUUUUCUGUAAUGGUGCUUUCGCAAUAAUGAUGGAGGUGCAGGUAUUUCCUGAGGAUUAAUGACCAGCUGGGAGGAACCGGUGGCCCUUGGCUCUGCCUCCCGGCCAGCCAUUAAUUCCAAGGAAAUGUCUUUUGCUAAGGUCGUUAUUGCUGUUACGAGCUUAAAAUGGAAAAACAUAAUAGGCGUAUGAGUUGUUUUUAUGGGUUGAUGCCGUUUCCAAUGGUAUGUACUAAUUCGAGAAAAUAAAUGUGUGUCCACGCAAUAGCAAGUCAGAUUGUUGGAAUCAUCCCUCAGUAUUCCAUAUGUUUUGUGACUGACUUUAUAGCUCUCUACCUUUACCACAGAGAAAAUGAAAGAAAGAAAGAGCAUCUGACUCAAGUAAUUCUUACCUUGGUCCAAGGCUUGAAAGUGUUGCAUGCAGUGACCUAUUCGGAAACACCAGUUUCUUUUAUCAACCUCAAAUAAUAUUCGUGUUUAAUGUGUGUUGUGAAGUGAAAAAAAGGAAUUUGUUUUCCAUGUUUGUGAUACUGCUUUUUCUUUUUUUUUUUUUUUUAAUUUAUUUAUUCAACGUUUAUUUAUUUUUGGGACAGAGAGAGACAGAGCAUGAACGGGGGAGGGGCAGAGAGAGAGGGAGACACAGAAUCGGAAACAGGCUCCAGGCUCUGAGCCGUCAGCCCAGAGCCUGACUCGGGGCUCGAACUCACAGACCGCGAGAUCGUGACCUGGGUGAAGUCGGACGCCUAACCGACUGCGCCACCCAGGCGCCCCGGUACUGCUUUUUCUGGUAGAAUAAGGUGCUGCAGCCCUGUAACCCUGUAAUAAUUUUUUUCUGUGCUUCUUUGGUUUUUCCCUGUCACUUGUUUGACAGGCAGCCUUAUGUUUAUGCUUUUCCACGCUGAAUCCAUGAUUCAGUUCAUCAAUUAGCAAUUGAGCACCACGCAGCUUAAUCAUUCAACAUUUCGGGGGAGUACAUGUAUUAAAUGCUGCAAUAAUGGGAGACCCUUUGACACAAAACACACAUGCACACAGAACCCCCAGGAAUGAAGCCAGAGUAUCAGAGUGUUGCCCAUUAUGCUCCUUUCUGAUUCUUGUAACAAGAGAGUCCUUUUGCAUUUUGGCUUCCCAUCUUAAUCAACCGGCCUGUUCCAUUAUUUUUUAUCUAAAUUACUAACGAAGUUAAUCUAGAAACAUUCUUAGAAGUCAUAAAAGGGAAAUCUUGACAGUCCUGGAAUAUCGCCACGCUUGACUUUGUGGAGAGACAUGUGGACUGUGUCACCCAGGCAUGGCGCCCGUGGACCUUUUGUAUCUAUAAUACCAGUUAGUGACUCCGUGUUUAUCAAGCUGCAGGUAGAGGCCAUGGUUGGUGGAGGAUUUGAAACGUUACAGGACACAGAUCUGUACUUAAAGGAAUCAAGCUAAGAAAUCUCAUCCUGUCUGGCCCUCAAAUUCUUAAUCUCCCUUGUUUCCUUCUUCAUCAUAUUCUCCUACAGCCUCCAGGUAGGGGUUCACAUUGUUGAACUCAUUUGCAGCCAGAUUUCUUUUCUUUUUUUCUUUUUUUUUUUUUUUAAUUUUUUUUUUUUUUCAACGUUUAUUUUUGGGACAGAGAGAGACAGAGCAUGAACGGGGGAGGGGCAGAGAGCGAGGGAGACACAGAAUCGGAAACAGGCUCCAGGCUCUGAGCCGUCAGCCCAGAGCCUGAUGCGGGGCUCGAACUCACGGACCGCGAGAUCGUGACCUUGCAGCCAGAUUUCUUGAGCCUGCUUUGCAAAGGUCUUCAAGUGUCCCCAGCCUGCUUCUCCGUUCCCUCUCCUCGGUUGACAUCCAUGAAAAGCUGAGAUGCCGCUUUGCCUCUCAGGCCCACCCCUCUGCUUUCUUUCCCUGUCGUUGCAGGUGCUGGGCUUCUCCCAGUUCUUCUAGAGCAACCGUCCAGUAGAACUUCCUGUGAUGAUGGAAAUGUUCUGUACUUAUGGCAUCCAGUAAGGUAGCCACUAGCCACGUGCGGCUAUUUGAACACUUGAAGUGUGGCUGGUGCGUGAGGAACUGAAUAUUUGGGUUUAUUUCACCUGAAUGAAUUUGAACUUGAAUAGCUGACUGUGGCUAGUGGCUACUGUAUAGGAUAGCAGUCACCUUUGGUUCCAUGAUGUCUCUGCCUUCCCUCCAUGCCUAUCCUUUUUACCUUUAGAAUUUUUUUUUAACGUUUUUUUUUUUUAUUUUUAUUUUUUUAUUUUUGAGACAGAGAGAAACAGAGCAUGAACGGGGAGGGGCAGAGAGAGAGGAGACACAGAAUCGGAAGCAGGCUCCAGGCUCUGAGCCAUCAGCCCAGAGCCCGACGUGGGGCUCGAACUCACGGACCGUGAGAUCGUGACCUGAGCUGAAGUCAGAUGCUUAACUGACUGAGCCACCCAGGCGCCCCUCCUUUUUACCUUUAUAGUACUUUCUCUCGAUUUCAUUUUAACUCCCACUUGCCCCUGGAGGAGACCUUAAUGCCCUUCAACUCAAGUUUUGCCACAUUCUGCCUUUGGUCUCUUGCCUAGUAGUACAAAAAUCAAAUAGCUAUGACACGCAAGCCACUAUGCUUGGACCUGGAAGAAGUUCAGAGAGAAAGAAAACCUAUUCGUUGUCCUCAAAGAGCUUACAGAAUAGAAAGAACCGGGGUUUUCUGGGUGAUAGUGAGCAGAGGAUUCAUGGUUCAGCAAUAGCCCUGACUAAGUCCUAUGGGGACUUUCCUGAGUUUAUGUCUUUGAGAUGGGAGGUAUUGCAAAAACAUAUCUGAUUUUAUUUCUCGAGGGGUUGACUUUCAAACCGUUGUUUUUAAGUUUAUUUCUGAGAGAGAAAGAGAGUGAGCGUGUGCGUGCACACCCACGGGGGAGAGAGGUGGGGCAGAGAGAGAAUCCCAAGUGGGCUCCACCCUCAGCGUGGAGCCCAACUCGGGGCUAGAUCUCAUGACCCUGGGAUCAUGACGUGAUACGAAAUCGAGAGUCGGAGCUUAACCAACUGAGAUCCAGGCACCCCAACUUUCAAAUCAUUUCUAAAUAAGGUGCUUCAUAUAGUAUAAAACUAUUAUCUCUUAAAAUGCCACACUAGUGCCCCAUAAUUAAGAUGAUCGUAUGUCAUGUUUUUUUCAGGACAGUCCCAGUUUAUGCCUGUGUUUCAGUGUAAUUACCAAUAGCAUCCUCUUUUGCUUUCCAAAGUGCCCCAUUUGGGGAAGAUAAAUGCUAUGGUCACCUUCCCUACAUUCGGCCUUAAGUUCCCACAUGCACACCUUGUACUUACCCCAAUCUUGUUAAAUUUGUGUUCCUUGGCCACUUCCAGAUUAUUGUUUCAGGUCAUUUCUGUAUCAGAUCAUUCUUCUGUUCAUAAACCGUCAGGGGCUCCUCAUUAGUGACUGAAUAAAUUAUAAAUUUUCCAGGUUCCAUAGAUAAGACUGUUAGGCUCUCUGUUUACCAUUUUCUUCACAUACAUGUAGCCAAGCAGGUCAAUUUCCUAUUCCGUCAAUAGGACAUUUUCUCACCUUGACUUUUCCCUGGAAUUUCUUUCUCCCGCGUUCAAUGCAUAAAAUCUUCUUUAACCUUCAAAGUCCAGUUUUGACACCAGUUUUGUUUUUGUUUUGUUUUGUUUUGUUUUGUUUUGUUUUGUUUUGAAAUAGCUCCCGACUCCCUUAGUCAGAUGCAGGCUGUCUCACCCCUGGAACGUGAGCACAUGUUAUCAACGCCUUGCUUAUAGCAGUAUUCAUUGUCUCUCGUACUGAUAGUUUUUGACCAUUUUUUUUUAUCUUUGUUUAUCAGUUUUGUAAACUCUUUGAGCAUAUUCUUCAAAGCUGAGGACAGUAGUAGACAGUAGCUGCUUAAUAUACAUUUGUUGAAUGAAGGGAAAAAAAAGGUGUAGUUACGUUACUUAGGUCAUUCCCACAAGAUGAUGUCUUAAAGCAGUAAUUGCAAGCUUUUUUUUUAUUUUAAAGUAUUUACACAGUAUUAUGUCAUUAAUUACUGUACCCUGAAGAAAUGCUGUUGCUGCUAAUCUCUUGGAUCCAAUACUUGGAGACAUAAAUAUAAGUGACAUGAGCUCUGCUACUGCAUUCAGUGAGAUUACAAAAUACAAAGUACACUUAGAAGUAGAUGCUGGAAAAAUAACUUCAACGAUAGCAAAUGUAGAAAGUCUUGCUAGGGUUACUUCAGGGACAGGGUGCCUGGCUGGCUCAAUCUGUACAGCACGCGACUCUUGAUCUUGGGGUUGUAAGUUCAAGCCGCAUGGUGGAUGUAGAGAUUACCUAAAAAUAAAAGUAAAAUCUUUUAGAAAAGUCGGGGGGGGGGAUUACUUCAGGACACAGUCUAAGGGGAAGCUGCCAAGCUGGUAUUGAUAACAUGGCGGCACGUUCUUUCCACAAUUGGAAAGAAUGGUGUCUAUUAUGGGGAAUUUUCCUCCAAAUAAAAACCAAAAAACAAUGCGUUAGUGAUUGAUUUCUUUUUUUUAGUUUUUAAACAAAGACUUUAUAAUAAUAGUUUCAGCUUCACAGCAAAAUUAAGAAGAAGGUGCAGAGAUUUCCCGUAUAUUUCCUUCCUCACACAUGCAUAGCCUCCCCCGUUAUCAAAGCCUCCACCAAGAGUGAUUGAUUUU